Molecule: non-coding RNA, 95 nt
Organism: Paramuricea clavata
Lineage: Eukaryota; Metazoa; Cnidaria; Anthozoa; Malacalcyonacea; Plexauridae
Source: the annotation of a GenBank genome assembly
CCUUCAUAACUUCAUUCAUGUUUGUGAAUUGUGGUUGAUGUUCAAGCGGCUUGAACAUCAACCACAAUUCACAAACGUGAAUGAAGUUAUGAAGG